This 446-nucleotide ribosomal RNA is filed under the name uncultured bacterium. RNAcentral's name for it is "bacterial SSU rRNA". It matches the Rfam family "Bacterial small subunit ribosomal RNA", at positions 329 to 792 of the family's 1533-position model. The record is from RNAcentral.
GCCCAGACUCCUACGGGAGGCAGCAGUGGGGAAUAUUGCACAAUGGGGGAAACCCUGAUGCAGCGACGCCGCGUGAGCGAUGAAGUAUUUCGGUAUGUAAAGCUCUAUCAGCAGGGAAGAAAAUGACGGUACCUGACUAAGAAGCCCCGGCUAACUACGUGCCAGCAGCCGCGGUAAUACGUAGGGGGCAAGCGUUAUCCGGAUUUACUGGGUGUAAAGGGAGCGUAGACGGCUGUGCAAGCCAGAUGUGAAAGCCCGGGGCUCAACCCCGGGACUGCAUUUGGAACUGUGUGGCUGGAGUGUCGGAGAGGCAGGCGGAAUUCCUAGUGUAGCGGUGAAAUGCGUAGAUAUUAGGAGGAACACCAGUGGCGAAGGCGGCCUGCUGGACGAUGACUGACGUUGAGGCUCGAAAGCGUGGGGAGCAAACAGGAUUAGAUACCCUCGUA